GGACAAAAGCAAUAAGACUUGUCCGUUUACUGAGUCUUCACUUUGUGCCCACUCCAUCCACAGUGAUCAACCUACAUUAUCUCAUUUAAUCAAUCCCCUGAGGCAAGCGUAAGGAUGGGUGGGCUGGUACUGAAGACCGAGCUUUGACAAUACCACGCUGUCAGGACUCUGCCCGAGGCUAAAAGAUAUCUUUGGAAGCUGUGCCUAUAAAAAGAAAGCAAUGUGUCCCUAGGACUACGGAAAGACUUUUCCACCAGGAAGAGGGGACUAUACCUGUUGGAACAUUUGCAUGCCUGCACCUGCCGCCUCCCCGGCCCACUCAGAUUCCCACCGGCCAUCCUCACCAGCCUCCACUUCUGUGGGCCAGUCUACAUCCCAGCAGAGACGGGCAGACUGCGUGUGCGGGGGCGGACCUGUGGCUCGAGGGGGAGCGAGAGACCUAAAUGAGCAGAUGGAGCAGCUGAAGAUUAAAAGCGCAAAUGGGAAGUUGGGAUAGACAUGUGACAGGACAGCGAUGCUCCGGCUGAGCUGAACUGGCACAUCUGGCAGGCAGCCAGGCUCACUCGGAGCAGCUCCUCUCAACCCACCAGCGACCGGAGCUCGGUCUGGAAAGGCGCAGACCUGAGGCCGGGGUGGCCGGGAACAGAUGGCCAGUCCCUGCCAUUGCUGCUCUGCUGGCGCCCGAGGGCCCCUCUCUGGAAAAACCCGA
Long non-coding RNA from Nyctereutes procyonoides (raccoon dog), 709 nucleotides. RefSeq lists it as uncharacterized. The transcript has 5 exons. The record is from RefSeq and is a predicted model, not a curated record. Lineage: Eukaryota; Metazoa; Chordata; Mammalia; Carnivora; Canidae.